CAAGAGGACUGGAAAGAGAGACUGUCCUUUGUCCCUCAAACUCAGAAGACCAGCAUGAGCUUUUCUGAAAGGCGAGAGUAUAAUGUUCCAUCCCCAGUCAACAGCCACGUGUCUAGCCACUCCUUAUAUAGCUCCCAGUUGCCAUAUGUAUGCUACAGGAAGGAGUCCAGAAAUGAUUUGAAAGCAAUGUCCAUGGACACGAGGUCUGAAUACUGUCUUCCACUAGGUGGUUAUGACUAUAACCCACACCCAAGGGGGUGGAGACACCAACCAUGAAAGCUUGUGUGACAACCGUGUGAAUUUUGUUGUUAGUGGCCUUUGCAGGGUUCUUUACUUUAAAAAUAGACUUCAAUCCACUUUUAGUCCUAUGUGGUCACAGGUCAUUUAUCUGAGUGUACAUGUGUGUAAACACACAAGCGUGGAGCACUUCCUUGUCUGCUGAUGCCUAACGAACUGCUAG
This 460-nucleotide long non-coding RNA is filed under the name Rattus norvegicus (Norway rat). RNAcentral's name for it is "long non-coding RNA NONRATT016843". Lineage: Eukaryota; Metazoa; Chordata; Mammalia; Rodentia; Muridae. The record is from RNAcentral.